CGUGUAGGCGGCGCGGUAAGUUGGGCGUGAAAUCCCCGAGCUUAACUCGGGUGGGCCGUUCAAGACUGCCGUGCUAGGGUGCGGGAGAGGGAAGUGGAAUUUCCGGUGUAGCGGUGGAAUGCGUAGAUAUCGGGAGGAACACCUGCGGCGAAGGCGGCUUCCUGGACCGUAACCGACGCUGAGGCGCGAAAGCUAGGGGAGCAAACAGGAUUAGAUACCCUGGUGGUCCUAGCCCUAAACGAUGAGCACUGGGUGUGGCCCCUCACGGGGCCGUGCCGAAGCUAACGCAUUAAGUGCUCCGCCUGGGGAGUACGGUCGCAAGGCUGAA
Molecule: ribosomal RNA, 328 nt
Filed under: uncultured bacterium
Lineage: Bacteria
Description: bacterial SSU rRNA
Rfam family: Bacterial small subunit ribosomal RNA
Source: RNAcentral